This 253-nucleotide ribosomal RNA is filed under the name uncultured bacterium. RNAcentral describes it as "partial 16S ribosomal RNA". It matches the Rfam family "Bacterial small subunit ribosomal RNA", at positions 524 to 776 of the family's 1533-position model. The record is from RNAcentral.
UACAGAGGGUGCAAGCGUUGUUCGGAAUUAUUGGGCGUAAAGCGCGUGUAGGCGGCUUAGCAAGUCGGGCGUGAAAGCCCUCAGCUCAACUGAGGAAGUGCACCCGAAACUGCUGAGCUUGAGUGCCGGAGAGGAUGGCGGAAUUCCCCAAGUAGAGGUGAAAUUCGUAGAUAUGGGGAGGAACACCGGUGGCGAAGGCGGCCAUCUGGACAGUAACUGACGCUGAGACGCGAAAGCGUGGGUAGCAAACAGG